Molecule: long non-coding RNA, 667 nt
Organism: Salvelinus sp. IW2-2015
Lineage: Eukaryota; Metazoa; Chordata; Actinopteri; Salmoniformes; Salmonidae
Source: RefSeq, a predicted model, not a curated record
GAGUUAUAGUUUCACUGCCCAGGCUCAGAUCAACUUUCAACUCUCUAAAGCCUAAAUGACUGUUACAUUUGAUUUCYCUUUCUACUAGUCUACCUUUGAAAGAUGCCCUGAAGAUCCCUUCCCCCAAAAAAUAUAUAUAUCCCCGCAUCCCGCGGUAUUUGACAGUUCCCCUCUAUUUUUUGACAUUUACCCCGCCCCUUCGCUCCGGGAAUCCAGAGUUGUUUACAUUACUGCCACGGGUCAGGAAUGGUAAGGACCUGACGGACUCUUUCUGAACACGUAGCUAGCUAGCUACCUAUUCAACUCAUUUUACAAUUAGAGGUCUUCUGUUUUAGCGCACAGGGAAACUCGACUGCAGCACGACUUUGGAUUGGAAAAGUAAGCCCCAAAGCAAAGACAACCGCCAUCACCACCAGAAGACCGAAGUGAGGCUCCCACUUCCUGAGGUGUGAGUGACUGAUCUUCUGACACCAUGGACAUGGACACCCAAUCACAAGGCCAGCAGGCAGCAGUACCCUCGUUCCAGCCACAGAAGCCGCUCCAGCCGGACAUGGGCCACAGCUCUCUGGCUAACUUCCUGAUUGAGAAGAAGAUUGGGCGGGGCCAGUUCAGUGAGGUGUACCGGGCCAGGUACCUGAUGGACAACACCUCCAUGGCCCUUAAGAAG